GGUUGUAGCUCAGUGGUAGAACACUUGCCUAGCAUGCAUGAGGCACUGGGUUCCAUCGCCAGCACCA
This 67-nucleotide transfer RNA is filed under the name Marmota monax (woodchuck). Its description in RNAcentral is "tRNA.Ala". Lineage: Eukaryota; Metazoa; Chordata; Mammalia; Rodentia; Sciuridae. The record is from RNAcentral.